CAUCCCCCGCCCCUUUUUGGCGCAUGUGCCGCAGUCGACGCCACCGUCGCUGCCUCUUUUAUCGAUUGACCCAAUUUGCGGGCAUAAAGUAGUUGAGCGCUUUUUUAUAUCACCCACCCAACUCAAACCAACCCAACCACCCACCGAAUUGCGGCAUUCGGAGUGUGUGUGUGUGUGUGUGUGUAAUGUGUAGCCACCCCUGCAGAUUCCAAUGGUUUCCUUGUCCUUUCAACGUCCUUUCCUUUCCACUCGGGAAAACACACACAUUCCAACGGUUGGCUUACUGAGAGAACUAUUUUUACUGUAACGGACCUAAGAAUAAAACUAUCGACUUAUUAACUAGUACUAGUUCUGUUACUGCUUAGGUCUACAAUUUUAAGCUAUCUUAGAGACUGGAAAACUAUUUCCCAAUCUCUGUUUAACAGAGAACCACAUAGAAGUGGCCCCAAUUUCUCAUCUAGCGCGUUUAUCUUCGGUCCGAGUUCCGUCCAUAAAACUCCACUGAAAGAUAAACAAGAAGAACGCCCAUUGCAGCGUUUUGGCCUAGAAAAGAAACCAAAUGGGGGGCCAAGAAAGAGAAAACAAUGAGCGAAGCAUGCAGAAUGGAGAAUGGAGAAUGGAGAAUGGAGAACUGGGCGGCAAGUAGUAGACUUUUGAUCGGGCCACGAAGAAGCGACAACAAAGCGCUUGUUUGAUUAUGCUGGCCAAGCAUAAAACCCCCUAUGUACAAACGAAUGCCGCAGAUACAAAACACAAAUACAAAAUACAGAUGUACAUACACACACGACACGUGUAAUUGACCUACUUUCCCCACUCGAAAAGUGUAUCUGUGUGAGUUGCCUGUCCAGCUAUUUGGAUGCCAUAGAAAAAGUGGCGGAAAAAACAAGAAGAAAGAAGAGUGGUACGAGCGAGCAGAAGAGGCGGCUGAAAAAGCACAAAAACCUAGAUAAGAUAAACGAAACAAGUACAGCAUUACUCACCGAAAGUCACUGCGAUGUGUGCACAUAUGUACAAGAACCCCGAUCGUGUGUAAUAAACCAGAAUUUGUGUAAUUAAAGCAGGAAAAAUGUAAAAAGUAUCUUACAGAUACGAAGUACAUAGGAGCUUUUGCCGCUAGCAAAGCUCUCAGAUACGCUCUGACCACAAUUGAAAUAGUUUGUCGCCCUGUCGCCAGCCACUUUUGUAGCCAUGUGGCUGGCGACCUAUUUACUGCGGCGUAUCCAUCAGAUACAUGCACAGAACAAUUGGAAACACAGAAAAAAGUAAGUAGGAGAUUAAGGGGUUUCCGAGAGAUCUAUUGGAAUGCGCUGGCUGCGGAAUCGAACAAUGCUGAAAAUGUAAAAGGCGAGAAUGCAAAAAAUCGCCGCCCCCAUGUAGGUGGUGGCUAAAAUGUUAAACGGAGCCCCAAAAGGCAAUUACACGCUAUCUGUUGGGACCUGCAGAUAGUUUUGUUUGCUCUCCGGCGCGACACUGAUAAAGGCAAUUAGCAGCGAACAUGUGCGACGAAACUGGAGAGUCGAAAAGACCAGAAAGUCUGACUAAAAACAAAAACACUGAAAGCGCAGCACUAAGCGAGCAACUUAAUUAAUUAGUUUCGAGCGAAACGCCCCUUUGCCAUUCGCGUAUCUUCAGCAUACAGAAACCAAAAAGAAAAAUCAGCUAAAACUGAAACGUAUCUCUAACAAACGUGUGCAAUAUCUUGGCCAGCAGGCUAUCAGGAUUCUAAUUUCUAGAGUAAGAAACAUUUAAGACAUUUUCUCCAUUGGUACACUAUUGGUUUUAUAGUCCGUAGCAUUAAUCGAUAACUUUCUAGUCACAAAAUAUUUUGACUUGAUUAAUAACCAGCAUUUCAUCAUCAGUACAUCAGAUACAUCAUCGAAACCUAUAUUGUCCAAAGCCCAGCCAUAUUUCUGCGCAGUGCAAAACACACUUUGGCUGUACUUAGCAGUUAGUCAGCAAAUCGCUGGCCGCGCUUGCCGUGUUUGCCGAUUGUUAACACGCCGUCGCUCAGCUAUUUUCGCCGCUGAUGUAAUCAGUUUUUUUCAGCUACAGCUGAACGGAACAGAACCCUCCUUCAAGACAAGAAAAACAGGCCAUGUAACCAAAAUUCAGUUUCGAUUUAGUUUCGUCAGUCGGCGGAUCGCGU
This is a long non-coding RNA of Drosophila simulans, 2146 nucleotides long. RefSeq lists it as uncharacterized. The transcript has 2 exons. NCBI's taxonomy places the organism in Eukaryota, Metazoa, Arthropoda, Insecta, Diptera, Drosophilidae. The record is from RefSeq and is a predicted model, not a curated record.